GCUUAGCCCUAAACAUUGAUAGCACCCUUACACCAGCUAUUCGCCUGGGAACUACGAGCAUGAGCUUAAAACCCAAAGGACUUGGCGGUGCUUAAGAUCCACCUAGAGGAGCCUGUUCUAGAACCGAUAACCCCCGUUCAACCUCACCCUCCCUUGUUUUUUCCGCCUAUAUACCGCCGUCGUCAGCUUACCCUAUGAAGGCAAAAUAGUAAGCAAAAUUGGUACAACCUAAAACGUCAGGUCGAGGUGUAGCGCAUGAGAGGGGAAGAAAUGGGCUACAUUCACUACAAUAGUGAAUACGAAUGAUGCACUGAAACGUACAUCCGAAGGAGGAUUUAGCAGUAAGCAGGGAAUAGAGUGCCCAGCUGAAACCGGCCCUAAAGCGCGCACACACCGCCCGUCACCCUCCCCAAUUCCAUUAUACCAAUAACUAAUACCCCACAAGACAUUAAGGGGAGGCAAGUCGUAACAUGGUAAGUGUACCGGAAGGUGCACUUGGACAAACCAGAGUGUAGCUAAAACAGAAAAGCAUCUCCCUUACACCGAGAAGUUAUCCGUGCAAAUCGGAUCACCCUGAACCAAACAGCUAGCCCGCCCCCCUAAACCCAAACCACCACCAUAAAUAACCCCAAACACACAACAACAAACUUAACCAAACCAUUUUACCCCCUUAGUACGGGAGACGGAAAAGGAAUCAGGAGCCAUAGAUAAAGUACCGCAAGGGAACGCUGAAAGAGAAAUGAAACAACCCAGUAAAGUGAGAAAAAGCAGAGACCAAAACUCGUACCUUUUGCAUCAUGAUUUAGCCAGAAUAACCCAAGCAAAGAGCACUUUAGUUUGAUACCCCGAAACUAAGUGAGCUACUCCAAGACAGCCUAUUUUAGGGCCAACCCGUCUCUGUGGCAAAAGAGUGGGAAGAACUUUGAGUAGAGGUGACAGACCUACCGAACUUAGUAAUUGCUGGUUGCCUAGGAACUGAAUUUAAGUUCAGCCUUUUGACUUCUCCCCUCACCUCAUCCUCACCCUACCUGACACUAAAGAAGUCAAAAGAGUUAGUCAAAGGGGGUACAGCCCCUUUGAACCAAGACACAACUUUUUCUAGCUGGGUAAAGAUCAAAUUCACCAAAGGAAUACAUGUCUUCGUGGGCCUAAAAGCAGCCACCCCAACAGAAAGCGUUAAAGCUCAGACAUAACAACAACUUCCCAUAAUCCUGAUAACCCAAUCUUAACCCCCUUCCCCUACUAGGCUGUUUCAUGCAAACAUGAAAACACUACUGCUAAUAUGAGUAAUAAGAGAGAACCGACCUCUCUCCUCGCACGCACAUACAUCGGAACGGACCCUCCACCGAACAUUACCGGCCCCAAACAAAGAGGGUAAUGAACAACAAACUAAACACCCAGAAAAACCCCCAAAAAACAACCGUUAAGCCCACACCGGCGUGCCAAUGAGGAAAGACCCAAAGAAAAAGAAGGAACUCGGCAAACACCUAAGCCUCGCCUGUUUACCAAAAACAUCGCCUCUUGUAAGCCAAAUAUAAGAGGUCCCGCCUGCCCAGUGACAACAAGUUAAACGGCCGCGGUAUUUUGACCGUGCAAAGGUAGCGCAAUCACUUGUCUUUUAAAUGAAGACCCGUAUGAAUGGCACAACGAGGGCCUAACUGUCUCCUUUUUCAAGUCAAUGAAAUUGAUCUCCCCGUGCAGAAGCGGGGAUAAUAACAUAAGACGAGAAGACCCUAUGGAGCUUUAGACACCAGAGCAGACCUUGUUAAACUAACUCUAAACAAAGAACUAAACCAAAAGGACCCUGCCCACAUGUCUUUGGUUGGGGCGACCGCGGGGAACACAAAACCCCCAUGUGGAACGGGAGAACUCCUCCCACAACCAAGAGCUACAGCUCUAAGCAAUAGAAUUUCUAACCAAAAUGAUCCGGCAAUGCCGAUCAACGGACCGAGUUACCCUAGGGAUAACAGCGCAAUCCCCUUCUAGAGCCCAUAUCGACAAGGGGGUUUACGACCUCGAUGUUGGAUCAGGACAUCCUAAUGGUGCAGCCGCUAUUAAGGGUUCGUUUGUUCAACGAUUAAAGUCCU
RNAcentral lists this unclassified non-coding RNA (2087 nucleotides) under Channa marulioides (emperor snakehead). RNAcentral's name for it is "partial contains 12S small subunit ribosomal RNA, tRNA-Val, and 16S large subunit ribosomal RNA". The stretch from base 677 to 2087 matches the Rfam family "Bacterial large subunit ribosomal RNA", at positions 1 to 2597 of the family's 2925-position model. Lineage: Eukaryota; Metazoa; Chordata; Actinopteri; Anabantiformes; Channidae. The record is from RNAcentral.